This 440-nucleotide ribosomal RNA is filed under the name uncultured bacterium. RNAcentral's name for it is "partial 16S ribosomal RNA". It matches the Rfam family "Bacterial small subunit ribosomal RNA", at positions 338 to 795 of the family's 1533-position model. The record is from RNAcentral.
CCUACGCGUGGCAGCAGUGGGGAAUAUUGCACAAUGGGGGGAACCCUGAUGCAGCGACGCCGCGUGAGUGAAGAAGUAUUUCGGUAUGUAAAGCUCUAUCAGCAGGGAAGAAAAUGACGGUACCUGACUAAGAAGCCCCGGCUAACUACGUGCCAGCAGCCGCGGUAAUACGUAGGGGGCAAGCGUUAUCCGGAUUUACUGGGUGUAAAGGGAGCGCAGACGGCUGUGCAAUUCUGGAGUGAAAGGCGGGGGUCCAACCCCCAGACUGCUCUGGAAACUGUAAAGCUGGAGGGCAGGAGAGGUAAGCGGAAUUGCUAGUGUAGCGGUGAAAUGCGUAGAUAGUAGGAGGAACACCAGUGGCGAAGGCAGCUUACUGGGCUGCAACUGACGUUGAGGCUCGAAAGCGUAGGGAGCAAACAGGAUUAGAUACCCUGGUAGUC